RNAcentral lists this long non-coding RNA (637 nucleotides) under Rattus norvegicus (Norway rat). Its description in RNAcentral is "long non-coding RNA NONRATT031079". The record is from RNAcentral. Lineage: Eukaryota; Metazoa; Chordata; Mammalia; Rodentia; Muridae.
CAAGGCCAAAGUCCUGAGCCCCCCUCUGCUGGUCCCAGUCCAGCUCUUAUCAACUCCCCAAAGGAAAACCCAUUGGUUCUUGGCUCCGAGGACAGGAAGGGGUGGAGUUACUGUCCUGUCAACUCAAGCAUCUGUGGAACGGGAGAAGCUGGGCCCCAGGAGCCCUGUGUCUCCCAGGAGAGGCCAUUGAAAAUACUGGAGCAACAGCGCCUCUGCUUCCAUUUCUCCUUGCCCCACCCCCUCCAGGGCACUCAGGGAGUAGGCGGCAGAAUAAAUGUGCAGGGCCUCCUUUGUUGCUCAUGGCUGGAUAGCUCUUAAGAGUCAGGCUUCCACUCACUUCUCUCCAGAUGAAGGAAAGAAAUUCACAGGUCCCAGAUCUGCCCAUUCAGGUGACACCUAACAUUGGCAUGGUGUCGAUUUACUUUUUUCACGAGUGUGUGUGUGCACAUGUGGGCUUGUGUGCUUUCCGAGAGAAUGUUGUUUGGCCAAAGCAGCACAGUAUUAAUAUUUAGAGUAGGAAGCAGCCUCUUAGGCACCACAGUUAAAAACUAAGAGAACGAACAAAAUUUCAGAGCUUGAGACCUGGGACAUUUAAAUCCUCAAGGGGUUUGGAACAAAAUAAACAGAUCUAAAUGUU